UGGGGAAUAUUGCACAAUGGAGGGAACUCUGAUGCAGCGACGCUGCGUGAAUGAAGAAGGCUUUCGAGUCGUAAAGUUCUUUUAUAUGGGAAGAUAAUGACGGUACCAUAAGAAAAAGCCCCGGCUAACUACGUGCCAGCAGCCGCGGUAAUACGUAGGGGGCUAGCGUUGUCCGGAAUCACUGGGCGUAAAGGGUUCGCAGGCGGAAAUGCAAGUCAGGUGUAAAAGGCAGUAGCUUAACUACUGUAAGCAUUUGAAACUGCAUAUCUUGAGAAGAGUAGAGGUAAGUGGAAUUUUUAGUGUAGCGGUGAAAUGCGUAGAUAUUAAAAAGAAUACCGGUGGCGAAGGCGACUUACUGGGAUCAUUCUGACGCUGAGGAACGAAAGCGUGGGUAGCAAACAGG
This 403-nucleotide ribosomal RNA is filed under the name Fusobacteriota bacterium. Its description in RNAcentral is "Fusobacteria bacterium partial 16S ribosomal RNA". It matches the Rfam family "Bacterial small subunit ribosomal RNA", at positions 355 to 776 of the family's 1533-position model. The record is from RNAcentral. Lineage: Bacteria; Fusobacteriati; Fusobacteriota.